GACGAACGCUGGCGGCGUGCCUAAUACAUGCAAGUAGAACGCACAGUUUAUACCGUAGCUUGCUACACCAUAGACUGUGAGUUGCGAACGGGUGAGUAACGCGUAUGUAACCUGCCUGGUAGCGGGGGAUAACUAUUGGAAACGAUAGCUAAUACCGCAUAAUAUUAAUUAUUGCAUGAUAAUUAAUUGAAAGGUGCAAUUGCACCACUACCAGAUGGACCUGCGUUGUAUUAGCUAGUAGGUGAGGUAACGGCUCACCUAGGCGACGAUACAUAGCCGACCUGAGAGGGUGAUCGGCCACACUGGGACUGAGACACGGCCCAGACUCCUACGGGAGGCAGCAGUAGGGAAUCUUCGGCAAUGGACGAAAGUCUGACCGAGCAACGCCGCGUGAGUGAAGAAGGUUUUCGGAUCGUAAAGCUCUGUUGUAAGAGAAGGACGGGUGUGAGAGUGGAAAGUUCACACUGUGACGGUAUCUUACCAGAAAGGGACGGCUAACUACGUG
Molecule: ribosomal RNA, 505 nt
Filed under: uncultured bacterium
Lineage: Bacteria
Description: partial 16S ribosomal RNA
Rfam family: Bacterial small subunit ribosomal RNA
Source: RNAcentral